AUCGGGUUUGAUAAGAGGUUUUGAGAUUUCCUGUAGAUGGCAGCAAUGCAACAAUUCUGGAUGCUGGCUGCCGUGAACCGCAAAGAAGAAGAACAGUCGCAGAAGAAGUCGAAACCACAGGAAGCAGGAAAAGCGCAAAACACAACAAACCAUCGCACUUUCUCGUGACCUGCGUAUGAGGAAGCAAUAGAAGACGCGUACAGUCGAGUAGGUUACAGCUAGCCACCAGUAGACCAGCUCUGAGAGGAAAGCAUGAGGAGCUACGAGGUCUGGAAAACGAGAUGGAGCUGAUCACUACGAGCUUUGACGUGAGCAGACGACGUUUACAGGACAGAGAAGCUGAUGUACAGUAGGAGAAAUCUUCUUCACAUCACUGUCUGCUCACUCUGGUUCCAAACUUAUAGUAGGAGGGGACUUUAAUUUAGUAUUUAACCCAGAGUUGGACAGGCUAAGCAAAGCUGUGAGCAACAGGAACUGGCAAUCAGUACAGACCUUAAAACAGUACAUGGAUGACUUCGGUCUCUGUGACACAUGGCGUUCUCUUCAUCCUACAUUCAGGGAAUAUACCUUUUUCUCACCAGUUCACCACUCUCACUCCCGUAUAGAUUAUAUUUUAGUAAAUAACUCAGUCUUACAAGAUGUCUCUGACACCAAUAUUCACUCUAUCACAAUCAGUGAUCAUGCACCAAUGUCCAUUUCGUUGAUUAAGACAGUCACACCAUCAUCCAGGAAUUGGAGGUUUAAUACAUCAUUACUCAAUGAUCAAGACUUCAUCAGUUAUGUCAGGAGAGAAUGGAAAACCUUUAUAGAAAUCAACGAUACACCGGAAAUCUCACCCUGUGUUCUUUGGGAGACUGGGAAGGCAGUUAUGCGCGGUAGAAUUAUUUCAUAUUCAUCACACAAGAAAAAAAAGGACAUGUUACUUGAAUUAGAAUUAGAGCAAAAAAUAAAAUCUCUAGAGAUUAAAUAUGCAGCCUCUCCAACCAAUGAUGUCCUAGAAGACCUAAAGAAUCUAAAGCUGAAAUUAAAUAAUAUAAUUGAUUGCAAAACUCAGUUUCAGAUAGACCAAUUACGCUGGGAGAACUUUGACCAUGCUAACAAAUGUGGUAAAUUUCUAGCUAACCAAUUAAAAAAUAACAAAGAGAAACAAAUCAUCCAUUCAAUAACUAAUAAGGAAGGCAACAUUACUUGUGAUCCCCAUGAAAUAAAUGAUACCUUUAAAAACUUUUACCAAGAGUUAUAUACGUCCCAAAUAGAUCCAUCCACCUCAGCCAUAGAGGAGUUUCUGAAUAAACUAGAACUGCCAAAGCUAAAUAAAGAACAAUCUACAACUCAUUGUUAUCUUUGGCAGAACUACAAGAAGCUCUGCAGGAGAUGCCCAAUAAAAAAGCUCCAGGACCAGAUGGAUUACCAACUGAAUUUUAUAAAGAGUUCUGGUCCAUGCUGGCACCCAGCUUUUACAAAAUGGUAGCUGAAAUUAAACAACAACAUUCAUUACCCACAAAUAUGAAUUCUGCCUUCAUAAGCCUGCUCCAAAAACCAGGGAAAGACCCUACACUCCCACCGAGUUAUAGACCAAUUUCACUAAUAAAUGUAGAUCUAAAAAUAGUGUGUAAAGCACUUGCUAGAAGAUUAGAAAAAAUCACUCCAUAUAUAAUUCACUCUGAUCAAACAGGCUUCAUUAAAGGUAGACAGUCAACAAACAAUAUGAACAGACUAAUUAAUUUAAUUGAUUAUGUCACCAUCCAUAAACUAGAGUCAGCCAUCGUCUCCUUAGAUGCAGAAAAAGCUUUCGAUAGAGUAAACUGGAAGUUUCUUUUAGCCACUCUGCACAAAGGCUGCCCACUUUCCCCAUCACUAUUUGCAAUAUUUAUUGAACCUCUAGCCGCAGCAAUAAGACAGCAUGAAGGAAUUACUGGAAUAUCGACCAAAUCAGUAAAUCAUAAAAUAAGUUUAUAUGCUGACGAUGUGUUACUGUUUCUCCUGGAGCCACAGACGUCUCUUCCUACAACUAUCAGCCUCAUAGAUGAAUUCUCGGGACUUUCAGAGUACUCUAUUAACUGGACCAAAUCUAUAGUGCUACCACUUAACCUUAAGGUGACUAACAUCUCUUCUACCACACUCCAUUCAGGGAACAUUAAAUACUUGGGCAUUGAAUUGUCGUCUAGGCUGUCAGAGCUUAUCGAUCUAAACUACAAUCCAUUAUUAAAACAAAUAGAAGCCAACCUCAAAAGAUGCCAGUCCUUACCCAUUUCACUUAUGGGAAGAAUUGCCACCAUAAAAAUGAUGAUCCUGCCAAAAAUUAAUUACAUAUUCUCAAUGAUUCCAACUCAGCCAGCCCAGGCGUGGUUUAAGACAUUAGACUCCUACAUUUCACAGUUUUUGUGGAAAACCAAGCCACCACGAAUUAGUUUAAAAACUCUUCAAAAAUCCAGACGCUGCGGUGGCCUAGAACUACCUAACUUCAACCACUAUUUUCUUGCCAAUAGACUGAACCAUGUCCACAAAUGGAUAAAACCCAUGCCAGCAGACUCCUCCUGGAUAGACAUUGAACAAACAUUUUGUGGAAAUAUUAAAGUUGCAGAUCUGCCCUUUAUCAGCACCAAAAUCAAAAAUCAUAGUUGUUACCAGAACAUUAGCAUAAAAUCAUCUCUGCAAGCCUGGUGGGAGUUUCUUAAAAUUAAUGGGUCUUCGCUUACUCUUUGCCAAAACACACCUCUCUGGAACAAUCCAGACAUCAUACAAAACAAAAAGGCAAUACACCAACUUGGCAUAUCAAAGGGAUAACACAUCUGAAACACGUUUUCACAAGAGACAAGUUUACCUCUUUUAAAGAACUAGUGUCUCACUAUGAAAUCACUAGUGCCAAUUUCUUAGAAUACCAACAACUAAAGUCAAUACUUAAUGCAAAAAGUAAGAAUACUGCCAUCCACAUGCAACCACCACCAGUAAUAGAGCGAUUUAUUGAUAUAUCAGGGAAAAGGACAGUAUCCAAAAUCUAUAUCUUAAUUUCCAAUGUAGACCAGACAGUGAGCCUUCCGAUCUCUAAAUGGGAAGCUGAUCUCAAUAUCACCACUAAUUACACGUUCUGGAAUAACAUAUGUUCUAAUUUAUUCAGAAUGACAAAAAAUACAAAUUUACAACUAAUACAAUACAAAAUUCUUCAUAGAACUCGCUAUACAGGACAAAGGAUGUUCCAAAUGGGUCUCACAAACUCAAAUAUUUGCCCUCACUGUACAGAUAACACAGUAGAUAGAUUCCUACAUGCAUUCUGGUCAUGCUCACCUGUGCAGCAAUUUUGGCAAAGAGUAUGUGAACACCUGUCAACCCAGUUAAGCUGUCCAAUCCCAGCAGCCCCUGCACUUUGUCUUCUAGGAGAUCUAAGUGGGCUUGAUCUAGAGACAAACUCAUCACACACACUUCUUUCUGCCCUCUGUGUCGCAAAGAAAAUCAUCCUCAUGAACUGGAAAACUAAAAAAAAAUUAAGCAUUACUCAAUACCUGAACAGCUUGUUAGAUUAUACCACCUUAGACACAUUGUCUGCUUCAUCAAAUCAAUGACCAAAACUAUACUCUGAUUGAUUCCAUUUCCAGGUAAGGAUGCGUGGGGCUCGGGUACUGCGUCAUGUCUGGCACAGUGGUGGUGUGGUGACUAGUGGUUGGGUGUGCCUGCCUGCCUAAGGAACCAGGAUGGGUUGGUGGACUCUGGGCUGGCCGCAUGGGUCCCCUGCGGCGAGGGUGUGGUGGCUGCUGAGACCGGCGGCCCUGUGCCGGAGUGGGACCAUUUUGAGGGUUGGCGUGUGCCUGUCUCCGGGGAGCCGGAGGCGGGCCUCCCUGCCGGUGUGCGGGGGCGGACCUGGGGGUGGAGACCUGGGUGACCUGCGUCCGGGGGACUCCCUCUGGGGGUGCCUGCCUGUGCCCGAAGGGGUGUCUCUCCCCUGGGGCGCUGCCCCUGCUCGGGUGGGGCGCUGCCUGCCCUAGCGGUCCGACGCCCUCUGGUAACUGCUCGGCCUGUUGUAGGGGGGGUUGGCGGACUACUCAGGCUAGAACCUUCAUUGGGCCCUGGGCGGAGGCUGGCCCUCAAUGCACAACCGCAGAGUAUGUGUGUGGGUUUGAGUGUCACACUACACGGGGCGAGCAUGGGCAUACUUGAGCGAGAGAAUGGGUAAGUGUGAAAGAAGGGUGAGGAUGGCUCUGGCUGUGCUGCGUGUGGCGCCUGGGCAGUAGUACUGCGGUCCCUGGGUCUCGGCUGUCCCAUCCUGGCUGGGGGUUGUGGGGGGUGGUGGGAUAGGUAGCAAAGCCAGUCGGGAACCUGGCUCUGCGGACCCUGGUGCUCUGCUUCCCAACUACGUUUCUCCGCAUUCAUCCACUUAGGUCUGCAAGGGGCAUCCUGCUGAUGGAGGGACCGGGGCUACUGGGAAGUGGUUCCGUCCCUUCCAAGUGGGAUGCUCUGCAGUUUUAAUUACAUUAGUCAUACACACUUGUCCAGGAAUCUGGGGGCUCCUUCCGGGGGGGCCAGUAGACGGAGCCUUCCUAUUGAUGGCUCUGUCUGCUGGACCCCUCGGAGAAUUGGGUAUCUCCCAAAGUUCCUCAUACUUAGCCACAUACACAUACAUUUAGGGCCGGGGGUGGGCUCCUUCACUGGGGCCUGGGGUUGAGGCCAGUUGUGGCCUCGGCCACUGGCCCUGGUGGAGAGAUCACCACCCAGUUUUAACUGCAAAAAGACAUUUAGGGCGAGGGGGGGCACUGUCCGGGGGACACUCCGUCAGCCAGCGGUUGUGCUCCUGGAGGUGUCACCCACCUUCAGUGCACUUUAGUUCCACACACUCACGUCCAAGCUGGGUUGCAGAGUUCUGGGGUGCCUUUUUCUGCUGCCCUCUGCCUCCCCUGGGUUGGGGGGGUUGGUCGGGGGUCGGGAGGAGCUGCGGUGCCACAUGGACGGCAGGCCGAAGACCUACCCUCCCCACGAAUGUGAUCAAGCGAAUGGUGUGGGUGCGAGAAUGUAUCUGAGAGUGCAUUGGUUCACGUAUGAUUGACUAGUUUGUUGUGAGAGAGUCUAUGGUGUUUGUAUGUGUUGAUGUGAUGAUGUGUGUUGCACAUGUGGGUGGGUGUAUGCGUCUGUGUUUGUGUGAGUUGGUAUGCGUGUGGUGCGGUUGGAGUGUGGGGGGUCCGGUUUUUCGCCCGGGGUACGAUGAUCGUCUGCCUGGGUGGUCUCUUUUCUGCUGACCCCACCAAUUGCUGGCCUUGUGCUGCAGGCCGCUGUGGCGCCAGGGGAUGAGGUCGGGCCGAUGGGGUAGGCCCCGCUCCGCCCAUGUGGGGGUGGUGGACUGGGGGCGGGCCCCACUCUGCGCGCUGGGGCAUCUUCUGGCGGGCUCCCUACGGACCGUGGGUCCUCGGGCUCUACUCUUUCAGGCCGACCCUCCCGCCGGGGGGAGUGUUUGCCCCUGGUUCUCAUGGGGCGGACAGCGUUGACCCCCGGUGGCCCACUCUGGCCUCGGGUGCUGUCUCUGUGGCUGCUGCAGCUCUGCCUGGGGGGCUCUGUGUGGGCGGCUUGGGUCGCAACACCUGCCCUCCUGGAACUGAAGGUGUGUGGGCUCCCUGGCUGCUAGGAUUCCUUCCUCUGCUUGCUGGAUGGGCGUAGUGGCCGAGCCCCUCACAUCACCCUGGCUUCCACAAGUGGCAUUGUUCAUGCACCAACGUCAGCCUCACCCUUUGGGUGAAUAAUGUUAAGCUACAGCCUUACUAACCUUGUAGUGGGACACUUUCCAAAUCCAACUAUGGAUUACAGCUGUGGACGACAUCCGCCAGUAAA
RNA transcript from Betta splendens (Siamese fighting fish), 5811 nucleotides. It is a transcript of the gene named cystinosin, lysosomal cystine transporter, with no coding region annotated. The record is from RefSeq and is a predicted model, not a curated record. The transcript is spliced from 4 exons. NCBI's taxonomy places the organism in Eukaryota, Metazoa, Chordata, Actinopteri, Anabantiformes, Osphronemidae.